RNAcentral lists this ribosomal RNA (301 nucleotides) under uncultured bacterium. RNAcentral's name for it is "partial 16S ribosomal RNA". It matches the Rfam family "Bacterial small subunit ribosomal RNA", at positions 509 to 807 of the family's 1533-position model. The record is from RNAcentral.
CAGUCGCCACGGUAAUACGUAGGGUGCGAGCGUUAAUCGGAAUUACUGGGCGUAAAGCGUGCGUAGGCGGCUUCUUAAGUCGGAUGUGAAAUCCCUGAGCUUAACUUAGGAAUUGCAUUCGAUACUGGGAAGCUAGAGUAUGGGAGAGGAUGGUAGAAUUCCAGGUGUAGCGGUGAAAUGCGUAGAGAUCUGGAGGAAUACCGAUGGCGAAGGCAGCCAUCUGGCCUAAUACUGACGCUGAGGUACGAAAGCAUGGGGAGCAAACAGGAUUAGAUACCCGAGUAGUCCCUGUCUCUUAUAC